Molecule: long non-coding RNA, 453 nt
Filed under: Rattus norvegicus (Norway rat)
Lineage: Eukaryota; Metazoa; Chordata; Mammalia; Rodentia; Muridae
Description: long non-coding RNA NONRATT007321
Source: RNAcentral
AUUACGUGCGUGCGUGUGUGCGUGCAUGUCAUUGCACUUAGUUUUGCUCCUGAGUGCUGGAGGUUUGAAUUUAGGUCCUUAGGUUUGCAACGCAAGAUUUUUACCAACUGAACCACAUCUCUGGUCCUACUUUCCAGUUGGAGACAGAGAUGCUAAGUUGGUCCUGGCUCCCAUGAAGCCCCUGUCAGAAGCGAGUCUCACUUUUCACCUACUAUGUGUGCUAUAUUCCCUCUGAUUACUUCCGCUCUAUACUCAUCCUGUGCUCAGUAGAAUAUCAGGCAGUGUGGGGGAGAGAGCAGCCUAGAGCUCUGCCUGGCUCUGGUCCUCUCCCGUUUGCCUGGCACCCAUGCGGUGGACAGCCAGGCCAGGAACGGGGACAGAGGUGCCACUGGGACUGCUCUGCCACAGAUCUACUCCCACCUGCGUUCUUACACCGUCCCGCGAGAGCAGCGC